CGUGCGACCUCUCUGGAAAGUUUUCAAUUCAGAAUAUGAUCGGACCGUUUAUUUCACUAACUGCAACUGUCUCGUCCCAAACCCUGCAACGCUUCUGCCCCUUGACAGACACAUAUUGACACCGCCGUUCUCUAACUACAGUAAACCCAAUAUCUGGAGUCUUUGAAAUCUGUAAUGCUGCUAAUCCUCUCAUAUCAAAGGAUGUGUUCCUCUACCUUGCAGGAUGGACUGCUACUACUCAAACAUCUAGCCGCACCCAGCCUGUGGAGCUCUCUCAGGUAACAUUUGUUUCUGGAGCAAAUUUUCAUACAUACUGUAGGGUGUAGCUCAAAGUGCUUUACAAGAUAUAAAUAAAAAAUAAGAAAAGAACAACAAAUUAGAAAUAGAUAAAAUAAUCAUGAAGAAAUACCAAAAAUAAUAAGUAUAAAUCAAUAUGUACUUACAUUACAUAGAAAUACUGAUAAUAGAAAAUGUUCUAUGCAGAAAUAUUUGUGCCCAAUGUUACAUAUGGCCUACUGUUUAAAUAAGUACCUUAAACAUAGGAAAGAUGCUAUAUAAAUAAAAUGCAUUAUUAUUAUGUAUUAU
This is a long non-coding RNA of Polypterus senegalus (gray bichir), 585 nucleotides long. RefSeq lists it as uncharacterized. The transcript has 3 exons. Lineage: Eukaryota; Metazoa; Chordata; Cladistia; Polypteriformes; Polypteridae. The record is from RefSeq and is a predicted model, not a curated record.